GCUGCCCCUCCGCUCCCUGUGAGGAGCUGCAGCCGCCAUGAGGCCUCCCCUCAGCUCCUCUGCUCUGGGCUGAACAAACCCAGGGACCUCUGCCGCUCCUCACACCCCUUGCCCUCCAGACUCCUCACCAUCUUUGUAGCCCUCCUUUGGACACUCUCUGAUAGCUUUAUGUCCUUCUAACUGUGUGGGACCCAAACCAAAACCAGUGCUGGAGGUGAGGCCUCACAGCGCGGAGCACAGAGAGCAGCCCGUCCCCUCACACAGUGGCAGUGCUGGGCCUGGCGUACGCUGUGGCACGGUUGGCCCUUUGGGCUGCCAUGGCACACUGCUGGCUCAUGUUUAACUUGCCAGAACCCCCACAUCCCUUUCUACAGGGCUCUCUCCAGCCUCUUGCCCCCUGGUCUAUAUAUAUAAAAAGCAUGUUCUAAAUACUCAUAGCAAUGGAGUCCCCGUGCUUUCAUGCCAUGCUAUGUGGAAGGAAUUUGCACUUCUUCUCACACUGAUGUUCAAAAAUAUUAAAAAUAAAAAAAGAAGGAACUGUGCUUGAUGAUCACAGGCAUUGUUAGCCAACUACUGCAGCCAUGUUCACAGUUUCUUUGCAAAUCUCCCCGCACAUCAUAGGUGCGUGGCAGGGACUUCGACGAGCAAGUGGGCAAGCUGUCGCAGACCAGGAGGUGUUUGGUCCAUAUGCUUCAGCUGGGAGGUGGGAUGUCACUUGGCACCAUAACGUCCCAGUUUUCUUUUCUCAAGGAUUAGGAAAAGUACAGAAACCAAAUGCUGAGGCAAACUCCGUGGGCAGAGCCCUGUGUCAGGCCUGCUUACGUCAGGCCGAGUGUGGGGCGUUGCUGGCUGCAUGUCACAGCUCAGAGGAUGCCGGAGGCAGAUGUAUUGUUUAAAAUCUCAAUAAUAUUUUCUGAAGGCUUUUGAAAUUAUGGCAUCAAUGGAGAAAAAAAUCUCUGCAGUGUGUCUCAGCCUCCUGCUGUGAGACCUGAGAAGGCAGCCAGUGUCACCUUAGCUGUUACAUCGGGAGAGGACAGCGCGGAGUACCAACCUCAGCUCCUGCUGUAAAACCAGUGUGGAAAAUCAGGUACCAGAAUUAUGGUUUCACAACUCAGUGUAUGAAAAGCAGCCUCUAUGAAGAGACUAUAGCUUGGCAAUCACCAUGUCUUUGUACUGGGGUUUUCUUGCUUAAAACCCUGACAGAAUGGUACUUCUCCCAAUCACUGAAGGUAAAGUAAAAUGCAGAGCGUCCUUAUGCAAUCUGGAGUUCCCCUUUCGAAACAGCAGUCUGGGGACAAAGUCAUUGGUCUAGGCUAGGAAAAAAUCGCUUACACAAGAUAAACAAGGGCGGACUGCUGCCAUCCUUCCUUUCGCCUUUAUCUCUAAACCUUAACCUUAAAUUACAAAUCAGAGGUUGACACAGUGCUAUGCAUCUGCAACUACUGAAGCCAGCUAAAUUUUAAUAGAUCUUACUUACAUCAGUGAUGAUGAAGGCUCGAAAGUUUCUCUAGCCCACAGAAAUGCUUCCAAGCUUUUAAAGUUCAAAAGCAAAUAUUUUAAUAUAUUACUAAGGAUGUUUUCAAAUUAAAUAAUUAGUUCUGUUUACAUGGCAUUUCAUUAUCAACAGGAAAAUGAUUUACUAGUUCUGUAUCUUUGUUUCGAAUCCAAGUAGAAAAGUAGAAAUAACUUCAUUUUCAAAAUCUUGUCAAAUUUUUGUGGGCACAAUGUUUCUUUAAACAUCAACUAUAAUAAUAGUAGUUUUCGGUCACAGUGUUGGAGCCACCUCAGUAGUAUUGGCAACAGGUCACUCACAAGUGCUUCAGCAGCAUGCAGAGCUCUGAGAGGCUGUAGAACAUGAGCACAGAGACCAGAGCAAUGGAACAGGCUGGAAUACUAUUUUCCUUGGAUUUGCAAGGAAUAGACUUCUGCAGCUUUCAUAAAGAUAAGGUAACUGCUCCAAAGUGACAUUUUUGCUUGUACUUAGUGUCCAGCAGAACAAACUCAUCAAGGUGCUGGUUAUGUGAUGAUGACUUCACUCCAGACAAAGCAGAUAAGGUCACAAGAAUGGUUUAUCCAGACGGGCAAAGUAUUGUAGAGAUGAGUGAACAGCAUGAUAGAUGAACUUCUGGUAUUCACGGACACCUCACCCAGGCCAUCUCCAUUGGAGGCCAUGUGCUGGCAGCUGUGUCCACGGUGUUAGGUUCGGUUCUGAAGAUCGGGUGAGAUUAGUUGCCAGCACCUUGAGCCUUCGUUAAGAAAGUUCUGUUUGUUGUUUAUUUUUCUUCUUUUUCUAAGUGCGAUUAAUCUCAGCAUCACUCAUAUUUAGAGGAAGAAAAGCUUAAGAUUCAGUGAAAUUUCAGAGGCACUUCAUUUGAUAGAUCCAAGCUGGUAAUUAAGCCAGUUAGAUAGGAUGGUAAUGGUUAUCAUAGAGCUCCUUUGAUUAUGUUUUCCAUCUCCUGGCCAUGUUUUCCGUCUCUUGGUCUUAUGAACAGGAGAACCUGCCCUGGUGCAGCAUUGGGAGCUCCAACAGACACAAGAAGGGCUCUCUGCCCAUAGCCCACCUGUCGCUCUCGCCUCUGCUGUGCCCUUCGUCCCUUGUAAAUCACUAGUCCCUCUGAGGCUGGGAAAAGUAAGCAUCCACUUUUAGUAACUGUCUCAUUUAUUUCCAUAGGAGCUUCAGGUCUCUCAAGAGGCCAGCAUUUUGUUAUAAGGAUGACACAGGAGCUAGGAAUGAGACUGGGCUUGUGGAAAUCUGUAGAAGUAAUAUACUUUCUAUUAAAAAAAAAAUUGUACCUCAAGGCAGAAGGACAGCUAGAAUUAUGUAGUGUCCUUCUUUAACGGAAUGAUAUGGUCUCCUUCUUUAGCAGGAGCCAGGCUGGGGUGCAGAAGGAGAGUUUGUACGUGGUUGCUGUUUAGUUUUUUCCUUUCCCAUUUUGCAUAUCUCUUCCAGAGAUUCCUGGAAACAGACUUCUGCUGACUUUUGAUUAUUAUGAAACAGAGCAGUCCUGGAAAGAAACCGGGGUCUGAAAACACAUCAGGGCAAUGGGCAGCUCAAUAAAUACACUGUUGUUAUCUGUCAUUGUAGCCUUCACAAGCUCACUACUUGAGCUGUUGUAUACAUGGGAGGGGCUGCCAGACCUUUCCAGUGACAGCUUUCUGCAUUGUGAGAUGCUUUUACUUCUUGUGUCUUGAGGGUGUUCAGCUAAAGCAGGCUGGGAGUGACAUCAAGAUAGGCUCCUGCAUGGGUCUGUGAGGGGUCUGGAAGCAGUUUGUCUCAAGGAUUUUCCUCAUUUUGUUCUCUGCAAUGUACAGAAGAAUCAAGAAAAAACAAAACACCAAAAUGAUUUGGUUUUAGUUUUUAUUUGGCCAAAAGGUUAUUCUGUUAUGGGCUGUAGAGAGGAGAUUUAAACAACUGUCUCAGAUAAAAAUCACUGGAGCACAACUGAGGAUUUCCACUAUCUCUAAGGCAGUAAGCGUAUACCAACCACAAGCAGCCAGUGGUAUUUUGGUUCAUUUUAAGUGGGCCUAAGUAAGGACCACAGCAACUGCACAAACACUGAGCCCCAUACAGUGUCUUGCCACCUGUUUCUGUGAUUUCUUUGGCCUGUUGACUCAUACAUAUAUAUUUUUUUCUGGAAGCUAAGGAUGCUUGCCAUGCUGAAAAUGCCCUUGGUUUGGUUUUGAGCUUGGAUGAAGUUCCUCCAAAAUGCUUCCACGGUGAUUAAGUUUCUGACUUCUUUAUUUUUUACUUCAGUGUGGCAGGGAGUGAAAUGAGAGCCCCUCAUGCGCUAGGGAGAGAUGUGGGUUUGGUAGCUUCCUUCCUGCCGCCAUCCUGCUUGUGUCAGGCUGGAUGGGGAUUGUCCAGGAAAUCAUAGAAUCACAGAACAAUUUGAGGGGAUCUCAAGGCCCACCCAGCCCUAGCUCCCAGCCAUGGCCAGGGCUGCCCCCCAGCUCAGCUGCCCAGGGCUCCAUCCAACCUGACCUUGAGCACCUCCAGGGAUGUGACAUCACAGCUUCUCUGGGCAGCUGUGCCAGGGCCUGACUGCCAUGUCGGUCAAAAUCUUCCCCCUGAUAUUUUAUCUAAAUCUCUCAUCUUCUAGUUUAAAACUGUUCCCUCUUCUCCUAUCACUAUAUUGCUGUUCUCUUGGAGAAAAAAAAAAAAAAGCCAACAAAAAACCCUACAAAUAAGCACAGCUGAGCUUGUAGCAAGGUUGCAUCUUCCAUGGUGAAACUGGGAAGCACAGCCAUGAUCUGGGGCAUCCAGAGCUGUGAACAAGUGGCCAGUUUGCUUUGUGUGCUUUCAGCUUCUAGUCUUUUUCCCAACAUUAACACAAGAGCAGGAAAGAGAACCUGCCUACUCCUCCAGAUUUUGAAACUGUCAGUGCAAACACGUCACGAGCCUGCGGUGCUUUCACUGUUUUUAUUUUUGUACAAUGCUUUCCGUUGCAGAUAUAUUUUGUAAAAACUUCCCUCCAAACCACCUUUGGAAAAUAUGUUUCCCCUGUUAUCCCCGACAUUCCAAGUUCAAAUUCUUUUGGUGUUUUGAGCAAAACAAAGCAUUUUGACCCCAAGAGCUUUUGCUGAAGACUUUCUGAGCUACAAACAGGCAAGGAAAUGCUACUGGCCCUGCGUUCAUGAGACCCCAUCCAGGAGUGAGAGAAUGAACCCUACCAAUGCAGCUCAAUGGGAGAAACGAAAUCUUGCAACUAAACUGUAGGAUUAUGCAUAUUAGCACACAAAUUGCUCUCUAAAUGACAAACACUGAACGAAAUGAACAUCUAAAGCUCUGGGGAGGAAUGAUCAGUAAGGCCAGGCCGGUAAAAUGCAAUUAUUUUUUUCUGUAUAUACAAACAAAACAACAUCUUGCUGAAAAUACAAGUUGUCCACUGCCACUGAAUAGCCAGGCUAAGCAACAGCACUUCUUUUUGACAUAGGGGUGGCACAUUAUGCAGUUUUUCCUUUAAAUUAGAAAAAUCAAGACCUUGAGGAAUGCCUACCAGCUUUCUGAAGGCUGCUGCAGAAAAGCACGGAGGUGCUGGCUCCCAUCCUUGUCUCCCCUGCAUUUUCUCACAGUCUAUCUCCUGGGCUGCACAGUGUCAGCAUGAAGGUUUGCGGCACAUCGAGCGGCGGGCGAUCACUCAAGGAGUAACCAUCCCACUAUAAACUGCAGUUUUGCCAAAUGAAACCACUGCUGCCACAUGCACCUGGCUGAAAUGCCUGAGUGGCUGCUGCUGGUGGAGAAAUCUAUCUUUCAGCAGCCCCACAGGAGGCCAUGUGCUUUGAAACAGGGUUCAGGGGUGGGAGCUGCUUUCCUCUUGGGCAGACCUCAGCCAGGAAGGCGCCAGCUCUGAGCACCUGAGGUCUGCCCAUGGGGUUUGGGCUUGGGGCCGUACGUUGUGUCACUUGUGGAAAGGGGAUGAGGUGAUCAGGAGCUGCUGAAAACCACACACCAAUGAAUGUGGACAGGCUGUCAAUAUCUCUUCUCCACUAAUAAAUAUUCCUGGCUUUUAAACUAGGAGGUGCUCUCCAAGAAGCGGCUCCUGGAGGCCAUGAAAGUGCCUCAUGUCUGGCUGCGUCAGGCACCAGCCCUGCCAAAAUCUGUGCUGUUGAAAGAAAUAUGGGGAGUGCCUUGUUUGUUGCUCUCUGCCACCAGCUCUGUUGCUCCAUCCUUCAGUAGGCAGGGCACCAGCCAAAAGCCUUGCCUGGCCCCAUGCAGGUGCCCUGGGUGUCACAGACAUGGCAAUAUGCGAGCUGAUGGAUUGGGGUACAUCUGACCCUGUGAGAAUAGCAGAAAUACCCCACUCAAAAUUAUGGAACCAAUGGGUGUUUUGUGUUGGAAAGGAUCUUUUAAGGUACCAUCCGGUCUGAGCCCCCAGCCAUGGGCAGGGCUGCCCCCCCUCAGCUCAGGCUGCCUAGGGCCCCAUCCAACCUGGCCUUGAGCACCUCCAGAGAUGGGGCACCAGCUUCUCUGGGCAGCUGUGCCAGGAUCUCAACGCCCUCUGAGUAAAGAAUUUAUUUCUUAUAUCUAAUAUAAACCUACCCUUAGGGGGGUAAGUGUGAAAUCUCAGGCUGGACCUGGUCACCCGGACGUCCAUUCCCAUGACAAGAGACUUGAAAUGCCAGAAGACAGCACGCUGCUUGAGGAACAGGUGUUUAGUAAGGAUUUUGGGGGGCAGUUUUUUGUUCCUGCAUCACAGCUAGGAGCGUGGUUUUCAUGGAUGGCAACAUGGUGCCUGAGCAAGAGGCUGAGGGAUCCAGCAUCUCCACAUUCAUCACUGUGAGCCUAGCCCUGCACUGACGGUAUCUUCCUCGGGUUUUGUGUGUCUCUGCCUAAUGCCUUUAUUUGCACAAGUUUUUAGGAGUGUCAGAGUGGCCAAACUCGAUGGAUUGCCUGUCUGAAAUAUUGAGAUGCAGUCACAGCUGUUUGUCUGGGUGUAUUGAUUCAUACUUAUGCCCUAAUUUUUUAAUUACCAAGUUCACCUGCAAGUUGUCUCUGGGGAACUCUCUUUUUUAUUUCCUCUUCCCAAAGUGAAAAAUACUUGGUCUGCCUCUUUCCUGCUUUCAUACUGAAGGUAAAAUAGGAUUACAUAUUUGAAUAAGUAGGAUGCAAAACACCAUUCAGGUUAAAUCUGGGCUUCUCUCUGUUGGUGGGUGAGAAAACAUUGGUAUCUGCUUUCCUUACAAGCUGGCAAUGUUCUGCUACAGUGCGAAAUGUGCACUGCCAAGUAGAGAUGAAGGCACAGAUGGAAAGCAGCAAGGCGGUGCAGGAGAGACAUUGCCAGGGCAGGGCUGCACCACGGCUUGUGACUUCCCAAAGGCCUCACCCAGCCUAUGCUUGGGCACACAUGGGCUGGGGUUUCCCAAAAGCUAAAGCAGCCCUGCACCGGGCUGGCACUGGGUGCCUGCUGCUGGGUGCUGAUAGUGCUCGGGGCACGAUGGAGCCCCAGGCCUAUGCUCACCUCUCCCACCCCUGCAGGGUUCCAGGUGCUGCCUGUGAUGGAGACAAGGGCGUGUGGAAAGCAGUGGCUCCAGAUGAGCUGUGAAGGAGUGAGGAGAUUGCCUCAGAGGACAAACAGAUAUAAUUAUCUGCAGCAGACUCAGAGUCUGUGUUGCAACCAUUUCCUCCUUAAGACCUUGGUGCACCCAAAGAAGAAAAACUUCCUGGUUUCUGUGCAAAGAUGCAUGACAGCAUGAUUUAUCACAAGUGAGCCACACUGCCCCAAACCUUCGUUAUCCUGCUUUCAGUGCACCUGUGGCAUCACCUGCCCUAGAAAAGCAGGUGGUGAGAGCCCAGCUCUGGGUUGAGGCAGCUUAGAGGUAUGACUUAGAGAAAGGCAAAGAGGCUGCAGACAAAGGCUUUCCCUUUCCUUCAAAGUCCAUCUGGAAAGCAUAAGCUGUUUUUCCUCAGAGUAUUUAGCUGUGUUUCCCUCUUGCUUUUCAUGCUCAUUGUUGCGUCUUAUCCUGUCCUACCUUGUGUGCUGCUGCUCUGCAUGGGUAGAGGGAAAGAGGUGUCAUCCUUUCUCUCCCUUGCUUGGGACAGAGCUCACAGUUUAGCUUUCCCUCUGCUCUUGGAUGUACUUACUGUCAGAAAGCACACAGCGAGGGUGAAUACUCAUGCUCCAAAGCAGUAACGCACGGCUCAGUGUGGGACUGUCACAGACUCACAAACUCUGAGUGUUUUCACUAGGAAGUUGAGGAUGGAGCAGUGAAAACACAA
Gallus gallus (chicken) is the source of this 7717-nucleotide long non-coding RNA. RefSeq lists it as uncharacterized. The transcript is spliced from 3 exons. The record is from RefSeq and is a predicted model, not a curated record. Lineage: Eukaryota; Metazoa; Chordata; Aves; Galliformes; Phasianidae.